UACGGGAGGCAGCAGUGGGGAAUAUUGCACAAUGGGCGCAAGCCUGAUGCAGCCAUGCCGCGUGUAUGAAGAAGGCCUUCGGGUUGUAAAGUACUUUCAGUCGUGAGGAAGGUGUUAAGGUUAAUAACCUUAGCAAUUGACGUUAGCGACAGAAGAAGCACCGGCUAACUCCGUGCCAGCAGCCGCGGUAAUACGGAGGGUGCGAGCGUUAAUCGGAAUUACUGGGCGUAAAGGGCACGCAGGCGGUUAAUUAAGUUGGAUGUGAAAUCCCCGGGCUUAACCUGGGAAUGGCAUUCAAGACUGGUUAGCUAGAGUCUUGUAGAGGGGGUAGAAUUCCAUGUGUAGCGGUGAAAUGCGUAGAGAUGUGGAGGAAUAUCGGUGGCGAAGGCGGCCCCUGGGACAAGACUGACGCUCAUGUGCGAAAGCGUGGGGAGCAAACAGGGAUUAGAUACC
Molecule: ribosomal RNA, 453 nt
Filed under: uncultured bacterium
Lineage: Bacteria
Description: bacterial SSU rRNA
Rfam family: Bacterial small subunit ribosomal RNA
Source: RNAcentral